UGGACAAUGGGCGCAAGCCUGAUCCAGCCAUACCGCGUGGGUGAAGAAGGCCUUCGGGUUGUAAAGCCCUUUUGUUGGGAAAGAAAUCCAGCCGGUUAAUACCUGGUUGGGAUGACGGUACCCAAAGAAUAAGCACCGGCUAACUUCGUGCCAGCAGCCGCGGUAAUACGAAGGGUGCAAGCGUUACUCGGAAUUACUGGGCGUAAAGCGUGCGUAGGUGGUUGUUUAAGUCUGUUGUGAAAGCCCUGGGCUCAACCUGGGAACUGCAGUGGAAACUGGACAACUAGAGUGUGGUAGAGGGUAGCGGAAUUCCCGGUGUAGCAGUGAAAUGCGUAGAGAUCGGGAGGAACAUCCAUGGCGAAGGCAGCUACCUGGACCAACACUGACACUGAGGCACGAAAGCGUGGGGAGCAAACAGGAUUAGAUACCCUGGUAGUCCACGCCCUAAACGAUGCGAACUGGAUGUUGGGUGCAAUUUGGCACGCAGUAUCGAAGCUAACGCGUUAAGUUCGC
RNAcentral lists this ribosomal RNA (513 nucleotides) under bacterium. Its description in RNAcentral is "bacterial SSU rRNA". It matches the Rfam family "Bacterial small subunit ribosomal RNA", at positions 365 to 869 of the family's 1533-position model. The record is from RNAcentral.